Molecule: ribosomal RNA, 440 nt
Filed under: uncultured bacterium
Lineage: Bacteria
Description: partial 16S ribosomal RNA
Rfam family: Bacterial small subunit ribosomal RNA
Source: RNAcentral
CCUACGGGAGGCAGCAGUGGGGGAUAUUGCACAAUGGGGGAAACUCUGAUGCAGUGACGCCGCGUGCACGAAGAAGUAUUUCGGUUUGUAAAGUUCUAUCAGCAGGGAAGAAAAUAACCGUUACUUAUUGAAUAGCCCCCGCUAAAUACGUGACAGACGGCGGCGUAAUACGUAGGGAGCCAGAGUUUUCCGGAUUUACUGGGGGUAAAGGGGGCGUAGGAGGAAAAGCAAGUCUGAUGUGAAAGUCCAGGGCGUAACCCAGGAACUGCAUUGAAAACUGCUUAACUGGAGUUGCGGAGAGGAAAGUGGAAUUCCUAGUGUAGCGGUGAAAUGCGUAGAUAUUAGGAGGAACACCAGUGGCGAAGGCGACUUGCUGGACGGUAACUGACGCUGAGGCUCGAAAGCGUGGGGAGCAAACAGGAUUAGAUACCCCUGUAGUC